Non-coding RNA from Osmia lignaria (orchard mason bee), 518 nucleotides. The record is from RefSeq and is a predicted model, not a curated record. Lineage: Eukaryota; Metazoa; Arthropoda; Insecta; Hymenoptera; Megachilidae.
AACUUCACGACGGACAGGUGUACGACCUGAGCAACCGCAAAACAAUUGACCGAACCAACUACGUCUUAAAUACAUGACAUUGUUAAAGAACUGGAAAGAUGGCUUCGAAGAUGCCGCUACCUUACCAAUUUUAUUGAGGAUCGUAUAGAAAGGUUCUACAUCACAUUUGCUAAAGACACUUACAAUAGAGGAAUCCAGUCCACAUGAUCAGAAGAUUAAUAUGUACAUUUCAUCAUACGAAUAUUAUUUCCUUUUAUUAUUAGUGAUUCUUCCAGUAUAUCUAUUUUUUAAAUUAUGGUCAUGGUUAGGCUGGCAAUUGUUUGUAAAUAAUUAAUUAAUACUACGUACAUUCCACUUCUUUGGUUAAUUUCACUUUGUAUUCUUUCUAAUACUUUAAUCUCUUAAAUUUUAGUAAUAUCAAGACUGCAUAUGUUUGUAUGCAGCUAUAAUAUAUGUACAUAUGUAAUAUCUCAUCAAUAUGUUAAAUGAAUUAUCGUUGAAUAUUUAUAUAUAAAAAA